CUACGGGACGCUCCAGUGAGGAAUAUUGCACAAUGGGGGGAACCCUGAUGCAGCAACGCCGCGUGGAGGAUGACGCAUUUCGGUGUGUAAACUCCUUUUAUAUAGGAAGAUAAUGACGGUACUAUAUGAAUAAGCACCGGCUAACUCCGUGCCAGCAGCCGCGGUAAUACGGAGGGUGCAAGCGUUACUCGGAAUCACUGGGCGUAAAGGACGCGUAGGCGGGUUGGAAAGUCAGGUGUGAAAUCCUACAGCUUAACUGUAGAACUGCACUUGAAACUUCUAAUCUAGAGUAUGGGAGGGGAGAUGGAAUUAGUGGUGUAGGGGUAAAAUCCGUAGAUAUCACUAGGAAUACCUAAAGCGAAGGCGAUCUCCUGGAACAUUACUGACGCUAAGGCGUGAAAGCGUGGGGAGCAAACAGGAUUAGAUACCCCCGUAGUC
Molecule: ribosomal RNA, 438 nt
Filed under: uncultured bacterium
Lineage: Bacteria
Description: partial 16S ribosomal RNA
Rfam family: Bacterial small subunit ribosomal RNA
Source: RNAcentral